RNAcentral lists this ribosomal RNA (496 nucleotides) under uncultured bacterium. RNAcentral's name for it is "partial 16S ribosomal RNA". It matches the Rfam family "Bacterial small subunit ribosomal RNA", at positions 28 to 506 of the family's 1533-position model. The record is from RNAcentral.
GAUGAACGCUGGCGGCGUGCCUAAUACAUGCAAGUCGAGCGAACAGACGAGGAGCUUGCUCCUCUGACGUUAGCGGCGGACGGGUGAGUAACACGUGGAUAACCUACCUAUAAGACUGGGAUAACUUCGGGAAACCGGAGCUAAUACCGGAUAACAUGUUGAACCGCAUGGUUCAACAGUGAAAGACGGUCUUGCUGUCACUUAUAGAUGGAUCCGCGCCGCAUUAGCUAGUUGGUAAGGUAACGGCUUACCAAGGCAACGAUGCGUAGCCGACCUGAGAGGGUGAUCGGCCACACUGGAACUGAGACACGGUCCAGACUCCUACGGGAGGCAGCAGUAGGGAAUCUUCCGCAAUGGGCGAAAGCCUGACGGAGCAACGCCGCGUGAGUGAAGAAGGUCUGCGGAUCGUAAAACUCUGUUAUUAGGGAAGAACAAAUGUGUAAGUAACGAUGCACGUCUUGACGGUACCUAAGCAGAAAGCCACGGCUAACUACGU